GAUUAAGCCAUGCAUGUGUAAGUGUAAAUAUACUAGUUUGGAACUGCGAAUGGCUCAUUAUAUCAGUUAUAGUUUAUUUGGUGAAGUGUACUACUUGGAUAACCGUAGUAAUUCUAGGGCUAAUACAUGAGAAAGUCCUCUGGUGAGGUGUGUUUAUUAGAAUGAAAACCAUAUGCUUCGGCAUGAUAGUGAGUAAUAGUAACCUAUCGUAUCGCAUGCUUAAUGUAGCGAUGAGUCUUUCAAGUUUCUGCCCUAUCAGCUUUCGAUGGUAGUAUAUGGGCCUACCAUG
RNAcentral lists this ribosomal RNA (289 nucleotides) under Blastocystis hominis. Its description in RNAcentral is "partial 18S ribosomal RNA". It matches the Rfam family "Eukaryotic small subunit ribosomal RNA", at positions 42 to 348 of the family's 1831-position model. RNAcentral also lists the same sequence under 1 other name. Lineage: Eukaryota; Bigyra; Opalinata; Blastocystidae. The record is from RNAcentral.